This is a long non-coding RNA of Maylandia zebra (zebra mbuna), 473 nucleotides long. RefSeq lists it as uncharacterized. The record is from RefSeq and is a predicted model, not a curated record. NCBI's taxonomy places the organism in Eukaryota, Metazoa, Chordata, Actinopteri, Cichliformes, Cichlidae.
CAAAGUGUGUGUGCAGGAGAGGAGUCGAGCAGAGAGAGCUGCUUUUUCCAUGAAACGGGAGUGAAGUAGUAAACUUACAGGAACAUAUACAACUACCAACGUUGGGAUCAAUUUCUGCAUCGAUCUGCACACCCUUGUCUCCUGGAUCGUAGCUCAGAUCAGCGUGAACCACGUGGGUCUCUGCUCCCUGAUCUGUUUCUUAAGACUUCCAGCUUCAUCACGGAGUUUCUCUCGGUUUGUGGGCUCAUCUAAAGCUGAGUAACAGGAAGAGAAGGGUCUGGUGGUGCAGCAGAGGAACAAUUUCAGCCAUUUGGACUCAGCUCAGCCACUACAGAGGAAACAAUGUCUUCAACACAGAAGGACCAACAUGAAGCGAGAAGUCAGUACUCUCAGGAGGCUGACAAACCUCACAGAAGAAAGGGAGAGAAGCCCUACAGCUGUGAUGAGUGUGGGAAGGAUUUUACCCAGGCUGG